CCUAUGGGAUGCAGCAGGCGCUGUGGACGCCCGCGGGCCUGCGCUCACUGGCGCCGGGUGAAGCUGGCUACGCGCCGCGCUACGAGGGUGACGUGCGGGCGCGCGAUGCCAGCUACCACCAGGGGACGGUAUGGCCCUGGCUGGCCGGCGCCUUCGUCGAAGCCUGGCUGCGCACGCAUGGCGACGAUGCGGCCGCGCGGCAAACGGCGCGCGAGCGCUUCCUGGCGCCGCUGCUGGCGCGGCUGCAGAUCGCCGGGCUCGGGCACCUGAGCGAGAUUGCCGACGGCGACGCCCCGCACACGGCACGCGGCUGCCCGUUCCAGGCCUGGUCGAUGGCGCGCCUGCUGCCUCCCGUAGG
Molecule: ribosomal RNA, 358 nt
Filed under: uncultured archaeon
Lineage: Archaea
Description: partial 16S ribosomal RNA
Source: RNAcentral